UCUGGUUGAUCCUGCCGGAGGCUACUGCUAUCGGGGUUCGAUUAAGCCAUGCGAGUCGAGAGGUGCAAGACCUCGGCAUACUGCUCAGUAACACGUGGACAACCUACCCUAAGGAGGGGGAUAACCCCGGAAAACUGGGGAUAAUACCCCAUAGACUACAGAAGCUGGAAUGCUCUGUAAUUGAAAGGUCCGCCGCCUUAGGAUGGGUCUGCGGCUGAUUAGGUUGUUGUUGGGGUAACGGCCCAACAAGCCUGUAAUCAGUACGGGUUGUGGGAGCAAGAACCCGGAGAUGGAUUCUGAGACACGAAUCCAGGCCCUACGGGGCGCAGCAGGCGCGAAAACUUUACAAUGCGGGAAACCGUGAUAAGGGAACCCCGAGUGCCCGUAAAUUCGGGCUGUUAACCUGUUUAAAAAGCAGGUGGAGAGAGGGCCGGGCAAGACCGGUGCCAGCCGCCGCGGUAAUACCGGCGGCUCGAGUGGUGGCCACUAUUACUGGGCUUAAAGCGUCCGUAGCUGGAUUGUUAAGUCUCUUGGGAAAUCUACCGGCUUAACCGAUAGGCGUUCAAGGGAUACUGGCAAUCUAGGGACCGGGAGAGGUGAGAGGUACUCCAGGGGUAGGAGUGAAAUCCUGUAAUCCUUGGGGGACCACCUGUGGCGAAGGCGUCUCACCAGAACGGCUCCGACAGUGAGGGACGAAAGCUGGGGGAGCAAACCGGAUUAGAUACCCGGGUAGUCCCAGCUGUAAACGAUGCGCGUUAGGUGUAUCGGUGACCACGAGUCACCGAGGUGCCGAAGAGAAAUCGUGAAACGUGCCGCCUGGGAAGUAUGGUCGCAAGGCUGAAACUUAAAGGAAUUGGCGGGGGAGCACCACAACGGGUGGAGCCUGCGGUUUAAUCGGACUCAACGCCGGAAAGCUCACCAGAUAAGACAGCGGAAUGAUAGCCGGGCUGAAGACUCUGCUUGACUAGCUGAGAGGAGGUGCAUGGCCGUCGUCAGUUCGUACUGUGAAGCAUCCUGUUAAGUCAGGCAACGAGCGAGACCCA
This 1043-nucleotide ribosomal RNA is filed under the name uncultured archaeon. Its description in RNAcentral is "bacterial SSU rRNA". It matches the Rfam family "Archaeal small subunit ribosomal RNA", at positions 1 to 1054 of the family's 1478-position model. The record is from RNAcentral.